This is a long non-coding RNA of Mustela lutreola (European mink), 1991 nucleotides long. RefSeq lists it as uncharacterized. Lineage: Eukaryota; Metazoa; Chordata; Mammalia; Carnivora; Mustelidae. The record is from RefSeq and is a predicted model, not a curated record. The transcript has 2 exons.
GAGCACCCCUGCCCAGGGGGCUGGGCCUCAGGCCUCCACUUUGAUUCUUCCCAGCUCAUUUCUCUGGCUCCCUUGGGCUCCCCUCAGUCCUAGUCAGUCGCCGGGCCCAUCCCCCUCCCUGAAUCCUACCCCCCCACCACCCCAAACUUGGCUCAGCGCUCUGUUUUCCUUUGAGACUUUCUUUCAACAGAGCGCGGUGUUGGCCAUCAUAGUCUCUGGCCUGGCCCACCUCGAAGACUGACCCUGACUCAUAAUCCCGGGUCCCGACAGGACGUGGUUCACACUGGUUUAAAAAACUCUGGACGGCAAAGUCACAAGCCAUCUGCACCCUCUUCUUCCGCUGGAGACGUUAUUUAUGUGUGUGGCUUUGUACUCGUUGCUAAAUGCAGCCUGUGUGAAGGCUGUUAAUUAACCCUUCGAGAAAUGAGCUUCCCAUCAGGGCAGGGACAGGAACCAGGAACGUGUUUGUAAUCAAGUAGUUAAACGUGGAAGAUUUAUCCUUCUUCGGAUUAACGAAGCCAGAGGGUAGAGGAGAUACCCUCCGAAGUGGUUUAAAGAAAGCCCGUUUUGUGCACGUAGAUUGUCAGAAGGGCAGGAAAUUCUAAAUCAUCUGGGCUCCUGGGACUUGGUGAGGAGACAGGAGGUGUGGACGGAGGGAUUGGGGGUGGCAGCCACCAAAGCCCGCCUGGGUGAGGUGUGGUGGCAGCAGCUGGCUGUCAGGAGACGCGGGGACAGGAGCUCCCCCAAGGGUGAAUUGUGUGGCCACUUCCUCUGUUUGACCCUCUGUGAAAUGGGAGCAUGUCUUGCCUUCCCUUCCUCAAGGGACACUUGUGGAAGGGAGGGGAUGAAGAAAAGUUAGAGGUGUUACCCAAACAUAAGUAGCCAUCCAAAGGGUCCUUAUGUCGUGGCGCCAUCCUGGGGGAGUGUCGUGGCGGGUGACAAAGUAGGAGGUGGGAUUUUUGUUCCCGGUUGCGGGGGGUUUGUGUGGGAAGAGCACAUUCAGAAAUUUUCCACAGGGGGCCUCUAUUCCCUCAUCUGUGAAAUGAGGGUCAUUCUAGAAUCUUCACAGCUGGCUAUGUGAUUAUGGUUUCCCAAUGCUGAAAACAGUCCUUCUCCCGAAAAUAGGAGAGGCUAGGUUUUGGGUUUCACUCAUCCUUAGUUUGCCAACUCAGGGUCCAUAGUUCCCCACCCUUCCCAGAUGAGCGAGGGCGGUGCUGGCUGGGGUCAGGGGGAGGUGGGAUGUCCUGGCUGGGUGGCUGGGUGUGGGGCUUGGGGACUGAGUGGGCCACUAAGGCCUGUCAGUGUUUGUAACUGCGACUCUUUACAUCCCGUGUAAAGGCAUGCCUAAAAAUCACCAUUGAACGCCAGAGUUCAGCGGCCCGCACUCAGCCGAGCUUCCUGUCAAAGCCGAAGGAGCCCAGAAAACCAGAAAAAAAAUUAAAAAAAGUAUUCACAGCUCUGAGCCUUCCCCUCUUCCCAGGCUGAUUUUGUUGGAAAAUAUUCGGAGUUGGAGAGAGGGAAAGAAAGAGAAACGGAGUGCAGCCUGGGUGUUUCGAGAUCCCGUGUCCGCUGUGGGGUUGUUUAACUUCUUGGAGCCGCAUAUCCACACAACUUAGAAGGGCGUCAUGAGGGUAGAUGAGAUAACGCACAGAAAGAACAACCUCGUUUCUUUUCCUCCCUCCCUCCCUCUCUUCCUUCCUACCUUCAUUGCUGCUCCCAGGAGGAGCAUCUCAUCAGAUCUCAUCAGAUCAAGAAGAGAACAAUACAAGAACCAUCUGGAAAGAUGCCGCUGUCUCCCAUCUGAGUUGUAGCCCAGAUUUCAACCUGGGCACACGUGUGUCUGUGCAACUUUGCCUGGACGGCUGGGGACUUUUGAUUCUGGUUUUCAGACCUUUCUUCAAGAUUCUACAUUUUGCCUUGACCAGGAUCAAAAAAAUCAUCAAAGCUGUAUUAAUUAUCUAUUGCUGCAUAUUAAAUUUCUCCCAAACUUA